GUAGCACAGAGAGCUUGCUCUCGGGUGACGAGUGGCGGACGGGUGAGUAAUGUCUGGGAAACUGCCUGAUGGAGGGGGAUAACUACUGGAAACGGUAGCUAAUACCGCAUAACGUCGCAAGACCAAAGAGGGGGACCUUCGGGCCUCUUGCCAUCAGAUGUGCCCAGAUGGGAUUAGCUAGUAGGUGGGGUAACGGCUCACCUAGGCGACGAUCCCUAGCUGGUCUGAGAGGAUGACCAGCCACACUGGAACUGAGACACGGUCCAGACUCCUACGGGAGGCAGCAGUGGGGAAUAUUGCACAAUGGGCGCAAGCCUGAUGCAGCCAUGCCGCGUGUAUGAAGAAGGCCUUCGGGUUGUAAAGUACUUUCAGCGGGGAGGAAGGUGUUGCGGUUAAUAACCGCAGCAAUUGACGUUACCCGCAGAAGAAGCACCGGCUAACUCCGUGCCAGCAGCCGCGGUAAUACGGAGGGUGCAAGCGUUAAUCGGAAUUACUGGGCGUAAAGCGCACGCAGGCGGUCUGUCAAGUCGGAUGUGAAAUCCCCGGGCUCAACCUGGGAACUGCAUUCGAAACUGGCAGGCUAGAGUCUUGUAGAGGGGGGUAGAAUUCCAGGUGUAGCGGUGAAAUGCGUAGAGAUCUGGAGGAAUACCGGUGGCGAAGGCGGCCCCCUGGACAAAGACUGAC
Molecule: ribosomal RNA, 684 nt
Filed under: uncultured Enterobacterales bacterium
Lineage: Bacteria; Pseudomonadati; Pseudomonadota; Gammaproteobacteria; Enterobacterales
Description: bacterial SSU rRNA
Rfam family: Bacterial small subunit ribosomal RNA
Source: RNAcentral